This 292-nucleotide ribosomal RNA is filed under the name uncultured bacterium. RNAcentral's name for it is "partial 16S ribosomal RNA". It matches the Rfam family "Bacterial small subunit ribosomal RNA", at positions 505 to 796 of the family's 1533-position model. The record is from RNAcentral.
GUUUCAGCCGCCGCGGUAAUACGUAGGGGGCGAGCGUUGUCCGGAGUUACUGGGCGUAAAGGGCGCGCAGGCGGUCUGGCAAGUUUGGAGUGACAGUGUUCGGCUUAACUGAGCAAGGCCUUCGAAAACUGCUAGACUUGAGCACUCAAGAGGGACAUAGAAUUCCGGGUGGAGUGGUGAAAUGCGUAGAUAUCCGGAGGAAUACCAAAGGCGAAGGCAGUGUCCUGGGGAGUGUCUGACGCUCAGGCGCGAAAGCUAGGGGAGCGAACAGGAUUAGAAACCCCCGUAGUCC